Molecule: ribosomal RNA, 117 nt
Filed under: Bacillus safensis
Lineage: Bacteria; Bacillati; Bacillota; Bacilli; Caryophanales; Bacillaceae
Also listed under: 2 other names
Source: RNAcentral
UUUGGUGGCGAUAGCGAAGAGGUCACACCCGUUCCCAUACCGAACACGGAAGUUAAGCUCUUCAGCGCCGAUGGUAGUUGGGGGGUUUCCCCCUGUGAGAGUAGGACGCCGCCAAGC